Patella vulgata (common limpet) is the source of this 754-nucleotide long non-coding RNA. RefSeq lists it as uncharacterized. NCBI's taxonomy places the organism in Eukaryota, Metazoa, Mollusca, Gastropoda, Patellidae. The record is from RefSeq and is a predicted model, not a curated record. The transcript is spliced from 3 exons.
CUUUUGACUAUAACACAUUUAUAUGAAGACACGUUCAAAGGUAGACAUAUGAAGUAAUGGGACUUUGGGGUAGGAGAAAUUAAUGUGAAACCGUUGAAGAUCCAUAGAUGACCACGUGUGGUGUUAUUGACAGCAUGGACACGAUUAAGGCUGUUAGUUUUCAAGAACACGAUGUUGACACAGUGAAUUCUCAGAAAACAUAUCGCUUUCCUCGAAUUAUCCUUCACGACAGCCUGGGAAAUAAACUAGAUACAUACACAGCACUACAAGAAGCAAUUUAUAGAGAUAAAUGGAAUGUAAAACAGACACAGGAAGCCAGAAAUCCGAAUGAAUGGCGAUUACCAAAAGCGCCACCUCCAGCAAAACCCGAUUUAUCACGACGAGGUGUCCCCGUUUCUAGACCAACUCGACACAGAAAUUUUUAUUGUAAAGAUGAUCUAGAUAUAAGUUCACGAUAUAAGAAGGUGUGUAAAACAAGACUGUUUAACUUGAUGUUUGACAUUUGUAAAUGGAAAAAAGUAAAAGUGAUUACAACGCCCAAUGUUCACUCCUGGCAAUUUAUAACGAUAUGCGUAUAAUGCCAUGACCCUAGCUUCAGCCAUAGCGCUCGUAACAAUUCAAGGCACCGGGAUGACCGAGACUUGGCUAUCUUAAUAUUGAUAUAUCCCAAUUCUUUAAAGCGAUAAUUUCAAAUUUUCUAAGAAAGGUAUUGAUAAUUAUUAGUCUAUGUGUUGCAUAGAUUGUCAAACCACUA